UGUUCAUGGUAGGCAUCCUGCUGGAUCGA
Molecule: non-coding RNA, 29 nt
Filed under: Rattus norvegicus (Norway rat)
Lineage: Eukaryota; Metazoa; Chordata; Mammalia; Rodentia; Muridae
Source: RNAcentral